CUUGAAUGCUAUAAGAGGUCCAGCCUGCCCAGUGACUUUGUUCAACGGCCGCGGUAUCCUAACCGUGCGAAGGUAGCGUAAUCACUUGUUCUUUAAAUGAGGACUAGUAUGAAUGGCACCACGAAGGUUAUACUGUCUCCUUUCUUUAAUCAGUGAAACUAAUCUCCCCGUGAAGAAGCGGGGAUGUAGUUAUAAGACGAGAAGACCCUAUGGAGCUUUAAACAUAAGUAACAAUUGCCCACCACAACAUUAAUCCACGGAUAUUAACCACAACAUUUAGGCAUCUUGAUUACAAGUUUUAGGUUGGGGUGACCGCGGAGCAAAAAACAACCUCCGCAGUGAAUGGAACUUAUUUCCUAAACCCAGGGCUACGACCCUAAGAAUCAAUAAAUUGACACUAAUUGACCCAAUAUUUUGAUCAAUGAAC
Molecule: ribosomal RNA, 427 nt
Filed under: Leptodactylus latrans group sp. ABGD cluster 39
Lineage: Eukaryota; Metazoa; Chordata; Amphibia; Anura; Leptodactylidae
Description: partial large subunit ribosomal RNA
Rfam family: Bacterial large subunit ribosomal RNA
Source: RNAcentral